RNAcentral lists this unclassified non-coding RNA (327 nucleotides) under uncultured fungus. RNAcentral describes it as "partial contains small subunit ribosomal RNA, internal transcribed spacer 1, and 5.8S ribosomal RNA". The stretch from base 1 to 73 matches the Rfam family "Eukaryotic small subunit ribosomal RNA", at positions 1759 to 1831 of the family's 1831-position model. The record is from RNAcentral. Lineage: Eukaryota; Fungi.
GCAAACUUGGUCAUUUAGAGGAAGUAAAAGUCGUAACAAGGUUUCCGUAGGUGAACCUGCGGAAGGAUCAUUACCGAGUUAGGGUGCUCUCCGCGCCCGACCUCCAACCCUUUGUCUACUUGACCAGAUGUUGCUUCGGCAGGCCCGCCACCUCCCCUUAACCCGGGGGGUGGCCGCCGGGGGUCCUUUACCGGUCCCGGGCCCGCGCCUGUCGACGGCCCUCUACAAACUCUUGUUUAGAAACGUGUCGUCUGAAGUACCACAAAAAUAAAAACAAAAACUUUCAACAACGGAUCUCUUGGUUCUGGCAUCGAUGAAGAACGCAGC